Molecule: ribosomal RNA, 482 nt
Filed under: uncultured bacterium
Lineage: Bacteria
Description: partial 16S ribosomal RNA
Rfam family: Bacterial small subunit ribosomal RNA
Source: RNAcentral
GACGAACGCUGGCGGCGUGCUUAACACAUGCAAGUCGAACGAUGAAGCGGGUGCUUGCCCUCGUGGAUUAGUGGCGAACGGGCGAGUAACACGUGAGUAACCUGUCCUUUUCUUUGGGAUAACGGCUGGAAACGGCUGCUAAUACUGGAUAUUCAGGCUGCAUCGCAUGGUGUGGUUUGGAAAGGUUUUUUCUGGGAUUGGGUGGGCUCGCGGCCUAUCAGCUUGUUGGUGGGGUGAUGGCUUACCAAGGCUUUGACGGGUAGCCGGCCUGAGAGGGUGGUCGGUCGCACUGGGACUGAGAUACGGCCCAGACUCCUACGGGAGGCAGCAGUGGGGAAUAUUGCACAAUGGACGAAAGUUUGAUGCAGCGACGCCGCGUGGAGGGUGUAGGCCUUCGGGUUGUGAACUCCUUUUUCUCGCGAAAAAGGCACAGUUUUGGCUGUGUUGAUGGUAGUGGGGGAAGAAGCGCCGGCUAACUACGU